AUGGUUUUGUUCAUGGGUGAUGAUGUGUAUUUGUUCUCGCGUACGCUUCGGACGUUAAGGACUAUAAUCCUGGUCGAACACCGCAUAGUGCGCGAUAUUUAUAAUCCAUGCUAAUUAGUUGGUCAUUGGAUCCUAAUCCAUCUAAAUUAUAUUAUGCAUUUUUGUUUUUAUAUGGAAGUUAAGCACAUGAUAUAAUCAACCCAGCAAUAUUUAUAAAUCGGUAACCGCGUCCAGUUAACGUGUUUUGAGGUGGAGAUAAUGAUGCCCCAACUACUACAAGCUGACUUCUUCAAAUGGGUUGACAAAGAUUAAUGAUAAAAGGGGUAGAGAUUCCGGUUAACCGAAACAUAAUUACUAUGUACAACACCACACUUAGGAGUUAGGGUAUACGGUGUGGGACGCGGUGAAGGUCGGCAAAGAUGUUUGCCGAUCGGCAAACACCGCCGCCGACUAUGUCGGUACGCGGCAAACAAACAAAAUCGGUAAAGGUUUGCCGAUCGUUAACAUGAGAGAGGGUAGUGAGAGAGAGAGAGAGGGGAUAUUGUGGGUGGGGUCCAUUCCUAUCUCAACCAAUCACAAUUUUUUCCUUUUUUUUUUUUUGAAAAUAGUUUACCACUCAGCAAGUGUUUAAACCACUGCCAACAAUUUUCAGUAAAGUUUAAACACUUUUGCCUAAUUGACAUGGCAUGCUCUGAUUGGUCGGUUUUUUGGUUUGCCACUUUAAAGUGUUUAACCACUCCUUAUACCCUUAGGAUUAAUAUAGCACUUAAUUUCUUUUCUUUUCUUCUCUUCUCGAUCUUAUAUAUUUCUUAGUAUUUCUUAAGUUCCUUCCAGGCUCCGAAAGGCUAUUUUUUCAGGGAAACCGACUGGCCAUUCUGCGUGGAAAUGAGAUUAAGAAUGGUCGGAUUGGUGCAGUUUUAAUGUCUUGUAAAUUUCUUCUCAUGUAUUGUUUUGUCUAGCUUCUUGCUAGCUUUUUUCGUUUAAUGAAAUCAGCCGUUCAAAAAAAAAAAAAAAAAAAAAAACUGGUCACUGGAUCGUAAUCCAUUAUACGCAAUGCUUUAUAAUGAUGGGAAUUUACUCUGGACAACUAUAAUGAUGGGUCUUUGUAACGAUGCUAACUGGUCACUGUAGCGUGCAAUUAUUAUGAUUGGAGAUAACUAUGAUAUGCCAACAACACUUGUUCAUUUUAUAAUGUAAAUCUACUCUGGACAACUAUUAUUAUAAACGUACCUAGCUAUUUAUAAAACGGUAACAUGCAAUUU
This 1262-nucleotide long non-coding RNA is filed under the name Helianthus annuus (common sunflower). RNAcentral describes it as "hypothetical non coding rna". Lineage: Eukaryota; Viridiplantae; Streptophyta; Magnoliopsida; Asterales; Asteraceae. The record is from RNAcentral.